This 574-nucleotide ribosomal RNA is filed under the name fungal endophyte. Its description in RNAcentral is "eukaryotic LSU rRNA". The stretch from base 214 to 367 matches the Rfam family "5.8S ribosomal RNA". The record is from RNAcentral. Lineage: Eukaryota; Fungi.
UCUUGGUCUUAGAGGAAGUAAAAGUCGUAACCAAGGGUUUCCGUAGGUGAACCUGCGGAAGGAUCAUUACCUAGAGUUGUAGGCUUUGCCUGCUAUCUCUUACCCAUGUCUUUUGAGCACCUUAUGUUUCCUCGGUGGGCUCGCCCGCCGAUUGGACAAAAUUUAAACCCUUUGUAGUUUGUAAUCAGCGUCUGAAAAAAACUUAAUAGUUACAACUUUCAACAACGGAUCUCUUGGUUCUGGCAUCGAUGAAGAACGCAGCGAAAUGCGAUAAGUAGUGUGAAUUGCAGAAUUCAGUGAAUCAUCGAAUCUUUGAACGCACAUUGCGCCCCUUGGUAUUCCAUGGGGCAUGCCUGUUCGAGCGUCAUUUGUACCUUCAAGCUUUGCUUGGUGUUGGGUGUUUGUCUCGCCUUUGCGUGUAGACUCGCCUUAAAACAAUUGGCAGCCGGCGUAUUGAUUUCGGAGCGCAGUACAUCUCGCGCUUUGCACUCAUAACGGUGGCGUCCAAAAGUACAUUUUUUACACUCUUGACCUCGGAUCAGGUAGGGAUACCCGCUGAACUUAAGCAUAUCAA